AUUGAACGCUGGCGGCAGGCCUAACACAUGCAAGUCGAACGGUAACAGGAAGAAGCUUGCUUCUUUGCUGACGAGUGGCGGACGGGUGAGUAAUGUCUGGGAAACUGCCUGAUGGAGGGGGAUAACUACUGGAAACGGUAGCUAAUACCGCAUAACGUCGCAAGACCAAAGAGGGGGACCUUCGGGCCUCUUGCCAUCGGAUGUGCCCAGAUGGGAUUAGCUAGUAGGUGGGGUAACGGCUCACCUAGGCGACGAUCCCUAGCUGGUCUGAGAGGAUGACCAGCCACACUGGAACUGAGACACGGUCCAGACUCCUACGGGAGGCAGCAGUGGGGAAUAUUGCACAAUGGGCGCAAGCCUGAUGCAGUCAUGCCGCGUGUAUGAAGAAGGCCUUCGGGUUGUAAAGUACUUUCAGCGGGGAGGAAGGGAGUAAAGUUAAUACCUUUGCUCAUUGACGUUACCCGCAGAAGAAGCACCGGCUAACUCCGUG
This 490-nucleotide ribosomal RNA is filed under the name uncultured bacterium. Its description in RNAcentral is "partial 16S ribosomal RNA". It matches the Rfam family "Bacterial small subunit ribosomal RNA", at positions 30 to 507 of the family's 1533-position model. The record is from RNAcentral.